GCCUAACAUAGGGGUGUCCAGGGGCUGGCCAGUGCUCACUUCAGGGCUGCUACAGGGGAGGGAUCCUGGGACCUCUGACAGAAGCUAGCAGAAGGGAUCAAAACCCAUGACCCUGAGAUCAAGACCUGAGCUGAGAUCAAGCGUCAGUUGCUUAACCAACUGAACUAUUCAGAUGGAGCUUACAGUACCUGAAAGUGGCUUAAGAAAUACUCUCAGACUAGACCAUGGAUCAACUUCUCAGGCAUCAAUUUCACCUAUGAAAUUUUGGGUAAAAUCAUAUUUAUUUUAUUUUUAAAUAAACUGAUAACUAUGUCAUAGAAUGCAAAUAUCACAUGAAUAUUUCUAAUUAGAAAUUAAAAUUAAAAAUAUUUUCCUUGGUGAUAAACAAAACAGCAACUGUGUCAGAUGCUGGGGGAUGAAGACUUUCUCCCCUCCAGUACUCUGGCACAGAAGUCUGAGGAGUUCUGCAAAUUCACUGGGCAUGGGGUGAGGAGUUAAAAAUCCUAUUCUUUCUUUAAGAUCUACCGUCACUAUUGGAUCUAUGCCAUAAAUAUGCUGUAUUUACCCAGACAUCUCCUCUAUUUAUUUGGUUUUAGUCACAGAAUGAGCAGUUUUUACCCUCUAUGAGGUGCUACACUUAAAACUCUUCAUCUGCUACUCAGUAUAUUUUUUUGUUGAUAGAGUUUGCAUGAAAUAUGUGUUUCUUUGACCCUCUACUGAGGUAAAACAUAGUCGACAGCUUGCCUUGCCUUUCCAGCUGCAAGCAGAACUGAGAUUACCAAACCAUUCCUCCCAGUUGACUUCUGAAGGGUGCACUAGGAAUAGUUUUUUGUUGUGACUUAGGGGUUCCAAGUGUUCUCCCUUCCACCAUGGGCCAUCAUAAUGCCUAAAGCACCAUCCCUCUGAGGACAGUAGUGAUCUUGAUGUGCCAAUGGAAGAUGAAAGGGAAAUCUCCUCAGCUAUUUAUCACUCAUAAACGUCUUAAUUCAAACUAGUUGGCCAUAAUUUUAAAACUUGUCCUUAAAUUCUUUAAUACUCUUACCAUCAAACAGUGGAAUUUAAUUCUCCUUUCCUUGAAUAUAGGGCAGCCUUAGUGACUCACUUUAAAUGAGCACAAUUAGGCAGAACUGACACUGUGUGGCUUUUCAAACGGGUAGGGAAGGCAACACAGCUUUUGCCUAAAACUCAUUGUCUCUCUCUCUCUCUCUGUAUGCAUAUUUGGAAUCCUGAGCCAACAUGUAAGAAAUUCAGGUACUCUGAAGCUACCAUGCUGGAAAGGCCAUGUGGAGAAAAAAAACAUGGACGUAAAGAUGCUUGGGCUCUAGCUGUUUCAGCCUUCAGCUGUCUGAGACUUCCUAGUCUAGGCACCAGGCAUGUGAAUGAAGAUCCUUCAGAGAAUUCCAGCCUUUAAGCUGCCCCAGCUGCUGCCAAGUGAGACAGAGAUGAGCUGUCCCUGCUGAGCCCUAAAGCUGCAGAUUCAUGAGCAAAAUAAAUGUUGUUGUUUU
Molecule: long non-coding RNA, 1505 nt
Organism: Nyctereutes procyonoides (raccoon dog)
Lineage: Eukaryota; Metazoa; Chordata; Mammalia; Carnivora; Canidae
Exons: 3
Source: RefSeq, a predicted model, not a curated record